CUGCCCCAACAUCAAAAUGUCUUUGCGACGAAGAACCAACUUUCUGCUCUUCAAGCUUUGCUAUCAAAGGAACGGUUGUGAGUAUUCUCGGCAAUCGUUCACUGAACGAAGAUCUGCAAUACAACGUACGGGUACAAGAAGUAUAUCGUAAUUCAACCCAAGCCAUUCGUGUCAAUGAGAUUCUUGAACUCCAAAGUCCCGCUAGCUCAUGCGGUAUCGGUUCGUUAGAGACAGGGUCGUCAUAUCUGAUUUCUGGAGGAUCCACGAGUUCGUUCUCGAUUGACGUAUGUACAUCGGUCGUGCUGGAGGUCAACGAUGUCGGUGAUGCGAGUGUCGAUAUCGACCUUCCGUGUUCUGCAUCCGUGUCGACCAUCACGUCGUACGUCAUCAUCGUCGGUGUCCUUCUGAGUGUCGUUUUUCAUUGGUGAUAAGGACCAUGAGAAAUGAAGACAGCAUAUUGUUGGGUUAUUUGAGACGGUAUGUGUAGGCUGGUUCUAGGACAACUACCCCCUGGAUAUCAAC
Strongylocentrotus purpuratus (purple sea urchin) is the source of this 522-nucleotide long non-coding RNA. RefSeq lists it as uncharacterized. The record is from RefSeq and is a predicted model, not a curated record. The transcript is spliced from 3 exons. NCBI's taxonomy places the organism in Eukaryota, Metazoa, Echinodermata, Echinoidea, Camarodonta, Strongylocentrotidae.